GGAGGGAUGACCGAGCGGCCGAAGGUGCUCGCCUGCUAAGCGAGUAGGGCUCACGCCCUCGAGGGUUCAAAUCCCUCUCCCUCCGCCA
This 88-nucleotide transfer RNA is filed under the name Actinomycetota bacterium. Its description in RNAcentral is "tRNA-Ser". It matches the Rfam family "tRNA". From Rfam's summary of the family: Transfer RNA (tRNA) molecules are approximately 80 nucleotides in length. Their secondary structure includes four short double-helical elements and three loops (D, anti-codon, and T loops). The record is from RNAcentral. Lineage: Bacteria; Bacillati; Actinomycetota.